UACGUAGGGUGCAAGCGUUGUCCGGAAUUACUGGGCGUAAAGCGCGCGUAGGCGGCUUUGCAAGCCGGAUGUGAAAUCCCCGGGCUUAACCUGGGAACUGCAUUCGGGACUGCAUUGCUAGAGUAUGGGAGAGGGAAGUGGAAUUUCAGGUGUAGCGGUGAAAUGCGUAGAUAUCUGAAGGAACAUCAGUGGCGAAGGCGGCAUCCUGGACCGACAUUGACGCUGAUGAGCGAAAGCUAGGGGAGCAAACGGG
Molecule: ribosomal RNA, 253 nt
Filed under: uncultured bacterium
Lineage: Bacteria
Description: partial 16S ribosomal RNA
Rfam family: Bacterial small subunit ribosomal RNA
Source: RNAcentral